UUGCAUACUCUGACAGAACUCAUGGAAAUACACAUCAGAAACUACAGCCGCUAAGAAGAUCCUUAAGCUUGUUCACUCUGAGAACCUGUGGUGUCUUUUUACAAUUACCUUGAAGACUGAUGCCUAUCAGGAGUGAGAUGGAAUUGUUUUCCAGUUGGAUUUUCAAAAAAGUUCCAUUCUUGUUCCAUUUGAGAUUGAGCUAUUGAAUCCAUUUUGAGCUGUUGAAUCCAACUCUUUUAGACAGCAGUUAAUGUGCUAUGAAGUAUAAAGCAUAUUCUGCAUCUUUGAAGGAAGAAUAUUUACAGGAAACAUGCUACACUCUGUUCUUUUUUCUUUAAAUCAAAGAGAAUGAAAACAUUUUAAGUGUUGGAUUGGAGUUCCCCCACUGUUUUUUUUUUUUAUAUCUUCUGAUGUCAAAUCACCUGAGAUCUUUGACUUUUCACUGGAUGUUGUUUAACUUUCUUGCACAUGCUCAGAUGGCAGGUGAUCACGAAUAACUGUGCUUUUGUUCAGCUGCAAUGAGCUACAGUACAUGUUACUGUAUGAAUGGAAAAGUACUAUGGUAGUCAAUGACUACUGUUAACAGUUUGAUUACUAAAACUGAUCAGAAUGUCUUCUUUGGUGUUCAACAGCUAAAAACAAAACCCUCAUAAAGGUUUGGAACGAGUGUAGGGUUUGUGAAGACUGAAGACUGGUGCUGAGGUGAUAAACCAAAGCCAGGCCUGCCUUGUUAUUACAUUACCAGCUAAAAACAAAACCCUCAUAAAGGUUUGGAACGAGUGUAGGGUUUGUGAAGAUUGAAGACUGGUGCUGAGGUGAUAAACCAAAGCCAGGCCUGCCUCGUUAUUACAUUAUCAGGAUUUGGUCAUGUUGAAGCUGAAGACUACCUGCUUUAUCUUUGUAACCUUCCUGCCAUUGGACACUUUCCACUGUGGAAUACGUCAGGAUUGAAACCAAACAAUGCAUUUCAGUAGUCUUAAUAUACUUCUGCUGUCUGCUAUCUUAAAGUACACAGCUCAGAACACUCACUAUUGAAGAGUUUUAAACUGUUCUUAUGAUGUCAUCAGCCAAUUAGUGUUGUCAUGAUCUACAAUCAUCAGUCAUAUGACAUUUACAACCCUGAAACAUUUCAAAUCAUACAAUAUGUAAAGAUUGGAAUAUUCAUUUAUUUAAACAAACAAACAAACAAACAAACAAACAAGAAAUAUUAAUUGCUUGAAUAUUGA
Molecule: long non-coding RNA, 1226 nt
Organism: Cyprinus carpio (common carp)
Lineage: Eukaryota; Metazoa; Chordata; Actinopteri; Cypriniformes; Cyprinidae
Exons: 5
Source: RefSeq, a predicted model, not a curated record